UUGGCAAUCAUCGAACAGAUUUGCAAAUUUGAUCGGGAACUUUUGAGAAACAUAAGCACUUUUGAACAAACUUGAAAGUAUUACGCGAAAAGGUUGAGAUAAAUCGAAUGUAACAUGCUCCAAUGCACCACAGUUAUGAGGAAGAGAUGAACACUUGUGCUAUGUGGCUACAUCUUUGAUAAUCAAAUACCAAAGAAUGAGUUAUUACCGUCAACAAAUUUAUAGUGUAUGAUAAUCAAGCUAGAAGAAGGAUAACAGCUGGUAUUUGGCAAUUUUUAUAUAUCUACGAACUGACGAGCUUCGAUGUACAACGUACUUUUCACCAAGAAAUGACCAGAACGCAUCUCUCUGUCGGUACCAGACCUCUGACGUAGUUUUUCCCGCUAAUUCCGAUAAUUACCAUAGAUCCACGAGGCAAAGAUUUGCCGUGCUUCCUAGAGUAUCCCAUCAAGUCAAAUAGAAAUGUUAGUUAGCAUAAUAAAAUAUAAUAAUGACCUCUUUCCUGAAUAAGUUUAAAUCAUUUUAAGAUUUUUACAUUUCUGAUCUCUAUGAAGGCUUAUUUUUGUUAAAACUGAUAAUUUUAUGUCAACAGACACAAUAGAAAAACAGUUGUCCAAUUAUAUGUAAUGCAUAUUAAAGAGCAUUUCAUAUAACCAAUCAAAAACCAUAAAACAUUUUGUAUGAAACAUGUUUAGCUCCUAAGUUAAACAUAAAGUACUACUUGAAUAAGAACAUGACAAACUCUG
Long non-coding RNA from Xenia sp. Carnegie-2017, 746 nucleotides. RefSeq lists it as uncharacterized. The record is from RefSeq and is a predicted model, not a curated record. The transcript has 2 exons. Lineage: Eukaryota; Metazoa; Cnidaria; Anthozoa; Malacalcyonacea; Xeniidae.